Molecule: ribosomal RNA, 461 nt
Filed under: uncultured ammonia-oxidizing beta proteobacterium
Lineage: Bacteria; Pseudomonadati; Pseudomonadota; Betaproteobacteria
Description: bacterial SSU rRNA
Rfam family: Bacterial small subunit ribosomal RNA
Source: RNAcentral
AAGUAGGGGAUCGUAAGACCUUGCGCUUUUGGAGUGGCCGAUGCCUGAUUAGCUAGUUGGUGGGGUAAGGGCCUACCAAGGCAACGAUCAGUAGUUGGUCUGAGAGGACGACCAGCCACACUGGGACUGAGACACGGCCCAGACUCCUACGGGAGGCAGCAGUGGGGAAUUUUGGACAAUGGGCGAAAGCCUGAUCCAGCAAUGCCGCGUGAGUGAAGAAGGCCUUCGGGUUGUAAAGCUCUUUCAGUCGAGAAGAAAAGGUUGUGACUAAUAAUCACAACUUAUGACGGUACCGACAGAAGAAGCACCGGCUAACUACGUGCCAGCAGCCGCGGUAAUACGUAGGGUGCGAGCGUUAAUCGGAAUUACUGGGCGUAAAGGGUGCGCAGGCGGCUUUGUAAGUCAGAUGUGAAAUCCCCGGGCUUAACCUGGGAAUUGCGUUUGAAACUACAAAGCUUAGA